RNAcentral lists this microRNA (21 nucleotides) under Panine betaherpesvirus 2 (Chimpanzee cytomegalovirus). Its description in RNAcentral is "miR-US5-1-5p". The record is from RNAcentral. Lineage: Duplodnaviria; Heunggongvirae; Peploviricota; Herviviricetes; Herpesvirales; Orthoherpesviridae.
GCGUUUUCGUCACGUUUGUCA